Molecule: transfer RNA, 67 nt
Filed under: Istiophorus platypterus (Indo-Pacific sailfish)
Lineage: Eukaryota; Metazoa; Chordata; Actinopteri; Istiophoriformes; Istiophoridae
Description: tRNA-Cys
Rfam family: tRNA
About the family: Transfer RNA (tRNA) molecules are approximately 80 nucleotides in length. Their secondary structure includes four short double-helical elements and three loops (D, anti-codon, and T loops). Further hydrogen bonds mediate the characteristic L-shaped molecular structure. tRNAs have two regions of fundamental functional importance: the anti-codon, which is responsible for specific mRNA codon recognition, and the 3' end, to which the tRNAs corresponding amino acid is attached (by aminoacyl-tRNA synthetases). tRNAs cope with the degeneracy of the genetic code in two manners: having more than one tRNA (with a specific anti-codon) for a particular amino acid; and 'wobble' base-pairing, i.e. permitting non-standard base-pairing at the 3rd anti-codon position.
Source: RNAcentral
AGCCCUGAGGUGUUUUACAUAUUAGAUUGCAAAUCUAAAGAAGCAGGCUAAUCACCUGCCGGGGCUU